GUUCACUGACCUUUAUUUAUGGAUAGAAUCCACUUAUGACAGAGCAAGACAGAACAGAGCUGGGCAAGGAAAACUAAACUGAAUGCUGGGAGAAGGAAGGCAGGGAAUGGAGAAGCCAUGGAGCCACCACCGGAGACAGACACUCUGGAACCUUGAUGUGCACAUAUGGAGGUGAAAGAACCAAUUGUUGGAGUCUGUUCUCUCCUGCUACCAUGCGGGUUAUCUGAAUCAAAUCCAGGUUGUCAAACUUGAUG
This is a non-coding RNA of Myodes glareolus (Bank vole), 254 nucleotides long. The record is from RefSeq and is a predicted model, not a curated record. Lineage: Eukaryota; Metazoa; Chordata; Mammalia; Rodentia; Cricetidae.